Long non-coding RNA from Cyprinus carpio carpio, 372 nucleotides. Lineage: Eukaryota; Metazoa; Chordata; Actinopteri; Cypriniformes; Cyprinidae. The record is from Ensembl.
UUCAUCGAAGCUCAGCACUGGAUAGCCGAAUAACACUGUGAGGAUGUCUGUCUCUGUAAAGGAGCUGUGUGAAUUGAUGAAUGUUAACUAUGAUAGGGCUGUUAUUGAGGCGAUUGCGAGGGUCAACAAUGAGGAGGAAGAUUCACUUGAAAGUGACAGUUCUCAGACAGCUGCCAAUGAGGUGGUUAUAAUGUCAAGUUAUGGGGUCCACAUCGUUGAAGUCCCAAAAUGUGCAUGCAUCCUUCACAAAAGUAAUCCAUCUGGCUCCAGGGGGAUAAACAAAGGCCUUCUGAGGGUAAUCCGUGCGGUUUUGUCGUAAAAAUACAUAUUUAAAACUUUAUAAACGAAAAUAACUGGGCUACGUCCUACGUU